AUGUGGAGGAAGGUCGCACGGUGGGAGGAUCCCGGUGGUUGUCGCACUGCAGCAGGAUCCCGACGACGGGAGGUGGGGCGAUGCGGUUGCAGUGGCGCGAUCCCCAUCGUGGGAUGGUGCCUGCAGCUCGAUCCCCAUCGUGGGACGGUGCCUGUGGCGCGAUCCCCAUCGUGGGCAGUGGCGACGGUGCGAUCCAAGGCGAGGGAUGGUUCCGACGCCGGUUGGUAG
This 228-nucleotide ribosomal RNA is filed under the name Triticum aestivum (bread wheat). Its description in RNAcentral is "partial small subunit ribosomal RNA". Lineage: Eukaryota; Viridiplantae; Streptophyta; Magnoliopsida; Poales; Poaceae. The record is from RNAcentral.